UACGAGGGGGGCAAGCGUUGUUUGGAAUUACUGGGCGUAAAGCGUGCGCAGGCGGCUUUGCAAGACAGAUGUGAAAUCCCCGGGCUUAACCUGGGAACUGCAUUUGUGACUGCAUGGCUGGAGUGCGGCAGAGGGGGAUGGAAUUCCGCGUGUAGCAGUGAAAUGCGUAGAUAUGCGGAGGAACACCGAUGGCGAAGGCAAUCCCCUGGGCCUGCACUGACGCUCAUGCACGAAAGCGUGGGGAGCAAACAGG
This 253-nucleotide ribosomal RNA is filed under the name uncultured bacterium. RNAcentral's name for it is "partial 16S ribosomal RNA". It matches the Rfam family "Bacterial small subunit ribosomal RNA", at positions 524 to 776 of the family's 1533-position model. The record is from RNAcentral.